This 253-nucleotide ribosomal RNA is filed under the name uncultured bacterium. Its description in RNAcentral is "partial 16S ribosomal RNA". It matches the Rfam family "Bacterial small subunit ribosomal RNA", at positions 524 to 776 of the family's 1533-position model. The record is from RNAcentral.
UACGUAGGGUGCAAGCAUUAAUCGGAAUUAUUGGGCGUAUAGGGCGCGUAGGCUGUCCUACAAGUCGGUUGUGAAAUCCCAGGGCUCAACCUUGGAACAGCACCCGAAACUGUAAGACUAGAGGGUAGGCGGAGAAAACGGAAUUCCACAAGUAGCGGUGAAAUGCGUAGAUAUGUGGAAGAACACCGGUGGCGAAGGCGGUUUUCUAGCUUAUUCCUGACGAUGAGGCGCGAAAGCAAGGGGAUCAAACAGG